AAUAAACGCAUCCAUGAGUUUUCGUAUCCAAUUUUAAUCGUCAGUCUUAUUUAAAUUUUUUGUAUGAUUAGUAUUUUUAGUGUUAUUAUAUUAUAAAACAUGAAUAGUACUUUAUGUGUGACUUUAUUUUUUUAGUUUUUUUAAUUUAAAUAAGACAAACUAUUGAAGUUGGACACAGAAACUAAUGGCUAUGAUUAUU
Non-coding RNA from Oryza glumipatula, 199 nucleotides. NCBI's taxonomy places the organism in Eukaryota, Viridiplantae, Streptophyta, Magnoliopsida, Poales, Poaceae. The record is from Rfam.